AGCCCAACCUUAAACACAUCGAUUAGAACAAGGAACUUCUUCCAGGAGGAAAACAGAAAGGAACCAAAGUAGCCUUCUCUUAUUUCUGAAACUUGCUCCCUGCUAACCAUGGAGCUAUUCUGUAACACCAAAAGCAACAUAUGUGACAACCUUUGGAGAGUUCAGUCAUAAAUCUUUUAUUACUGUGAACAGUCUUUACCAAACAUU
Molecule: long non-coding RNA, 207 nt
Filed under: Pogona vitticeps (central bearded dragon)
Lineage: Eukaryota; Metazoa; Chordata; Lepidosauria; Squamata; Agamidae
Description: lncRNA (ENSPVIG00000000189.1)
Source: RNAcentral